UAAGAUUUGCAGGACUUUACCCCACAUCUUCUGCAUGCAAAACAGACACUUUCAUUAAGCUAAAACCUUUCUAGAUGAGAAGGCCUCGA
This 89-nucleotide transfer RNA is filed under the name Hime japonica. RNAcentral describes it as "tRNA-Ala". Lineage: Eukaryota; Metazoa; Chordata; Actinopteri; Aulopiformes; Aulopidae. The record is from RNAcentral.